RNAcentral lists this ribosomal RNA (465 nucleotides) under uncultured bacterium. Its description in RNAcentral is "partial 16S ribosomal RNA". It matches the Rfam family "Bacterial small subunit ribosomal RNA", at positions 339 to 795 of the family's 1533-position model. The record is from RNAcentral.
CUACGGGCGGCAGCAGUGGGGAAUAUUGGACAAUGGGGGAAACCCUGAUCCAGCAAUGCCGCGUGUGUGAAGAAGGCCUGCGGGUUGUAAAGCACUUUCGGUUGGGAGGACUGCUUCUAGCACUAAUAUUGUUGGAAGUUGACGUUACCUUCAGAAGAAGCACCGGCUAACUCCGUGCCAGCAGCCACGGUAAUACGGAGGGUGCAAGCGUUAAUCGGAAUUACUGGGCGUAAAGCGCGCGUAGGCGGCUAGAUCAGUCGGGUGUGAAAGCCCCGGGCUUAACCUGGGAACUGCAUCCGAUACUGUCUAGCUUGAGUACAGGAGAGGAGAGUGGAAUUCCACAUGGAGCGGUGAAAUGCGUAGAUAUGUGGAGGAACACCAAUGGCGAAGGCAGCUCUCUGGCCUGAUACUGACGCUGAGGUGCGAAAGCGUGGGGAGCAAACAGGAUUAGAUACCCGGGUAGUC